This is a non-coding RNA of Acanthosepion pharaonis, 112 nucleotides long. Lineage: Eukaryota; Metazoa; Mollusca; Cephalopoda; Sepiida; Sepiidae. The record is from the annotation of a GenBank genome assembly.
UUACGGCCAUAUCACUUUGAAACACCGAUCCUACACGAUCACCGAAAUUAAGCAACGUCGAGCCUGGUCAAUACUUAGAUGAUUGAGCGCUUGAGAAAACCAGGCGCUGUAA